This 200-nucleotide unclassified non-coding RNA is filed under the name soil metagenome. Its description in RNAcentral is "partial contains internal transcribed spacer 2 and large subunit ribosomal RNA". The record is from RNAcentral.
GUGCGGGCUUUUCAAGUCGGCUCUCCUUAAAUGCAUUAGCGGAAAACCCUUGUGGACCGUCUUUGGUGUGAUAAUUAUCUACGCCAUCGCCGUGAAGCAGCUAUACAAUGGGAACUUCAGCUUCAAACUGUCCUUUUCAGAGGACAAUACUUAAUUGACAUUUUGACCUCAAAUCAGGUAGGACUACCCGCUGAACUUAA